Molecule: ribosomal RNA, 351 nt
Filed under: Triticum aestivum (bread wheat)
Lineage: Eukaryota; Viridiplantae; Streptophyta; Magnoliopsida; Poales; Poaceae
Description: partial small subunit ribosomal RNA
Source: RNAcentral
AUGGCGGAGGAGAAUCAGACGGUGCUGGUACGGUGCGCGGACCUCGUCCGGGUCCAGCUGCCGGCGUCGCUGGCGCAGCGGGCGGGGCGCGUCGCGGCGGCGCUGGAAGCCGGGGAGCGCGUGGUGGAGCUGCCGCGAGGGGUCUCCGGCAAGGGCCUGGCGACGGCGACGGCGUACUACGAGGCGCGCGCGGAGGCGGAGGCGUGCGGCGUGGAUGGUGCCGAGUUCGACGGCGAGUUCGUUCAAGGGCUGACGCACGACGCGGCCAUCGACCUCAUCUACGCCGCCCACCACCUCGGCGACCAGGCGCUCUUCAACCUCUUUGUGGGCUACAGGGCUAAUUGCUUCUAA